Long non-coding RNA from Danio aesculapii, 2425 nucleotides. RefSeq lists it as uncharacterized. Lineage: Eukaryota; Metazoa; Chordata; Actinopteri; Cypriniformes; Danionidae. The record is from RefSeq and is a predicted model, not a curated record. The transcript is spliced from 8 exons.
AUGACACUUGACGACAACAACCACAACAACACAUGCAGAUCCUGCAGAUGACAGAUAUUAAUAAUUACACUUUAAACACAAAUAUUACCAGCUAAUCUGCUAAUAAAACCGACACACAACCAGUUUAAAUGGAGGACUCGAGCUUGUCCCGCGACUCAGCUGAAAAGUCUUGUGGACUGUAAGACGUGUGGACAGACACUGACUGUACUGAUGAGGAUCAUCUGCUGCUGCACAGCACAGAUGGAAAGUAAAGGAGUGUGAAGAAAAGACACGACUCAAACACAAACAGACAUUCAGUCUGAGCUAGAAGAGACGUCUAGAAGAACCAGACGAGAAGCUGAAGGUUUGCUCGCCUCAUAAACAUCCAGCUUUAAUGACCAGCAGCUGAAACAGAGACAGUUUGAAGGCCCAAACCUGGACUUCAGCAGCGGCAGUGAAGAUACACUCUUUUAGCCUGAACACCUUUGACAACAGUGACACCAGAUCAACACAGGUACACCGUUUUACUGGCUUCAAGUUGAGCUCCAGCAGAUGACAGCUCAGUGAUAGACUCAUGUCAGUCAACAGCACAUAUUACAGCCCGACAGCGAAGAAAAGCCACACCAAGUGCAGAAAUGGAGAGUAACGCGACUCACCUAUCUUUGACCAGCGCUCAACAGCUGAUGCUCCUCCACACACUCCUCCACAUCCAGGCAGAUUCACAGCUCCAGUAAAGGAUCUACCAAGCCAGGUCAGAGGUCAUGGAGAGCUCUUGAGUGGAACUGGAUUCCUGCUGGAUUGGAAACAACUGUUUCCUGAGUUAUGUGUCAUUUUAUGUGUUAAUUCUGUUUAAAGUCAUUUCCUUUGUGUGCAGGAUAGACUUUCUGUGUAGCAGCAGCUGCCAGUCUGGAUGUAGAUUACACCAGUAUUAACCAGUUUCAGAUAAGACGGCUGAGAGUACGAGAAACAGCCUUGAGGAUGAAACAGGUCGUUCUCUGUAGAGCUGCUCGAUAUUGGAAAUAUGUCACAUUGUGAUAUUUAGAUUUCUGUGAUUUAUAUUGUGAUAUGAGAACAAUUUCACCAGAUGACUUGAACGGCUCUAUGUGUACAGAAUUGAUCAUUUUAGAUUGAUUAGGAUGAUUCUGUAGAGGAGAGCAUCUGAAUAAAUAUAAUAAACAAUCUACAAGCUUAGAUAAAUGCAGCGAAGAGGAAGAUAGAGAUGAAAUAAACAAUGUUUUACUGUUUCCUGAAGAGUCUAACAGUACUCAGGUACAGCAACUGAAUAAUCAAAUGUAAAAUAACACUGCAUAGUCUAGAGCAGUGUUUCCCAACCCUGUUCCUGGAGGCACACCAACAGUACAUAUUUUGGAUGUCUCCCUUUUCUGACCCAUUAACUUCAGGUGUUGGAGUCUCUUCUGAUGUUAUGAUAAGUUGAUUCAGGUCUGUUUGAUUAGGGAGAGGUUGAAAAUGUGUACUGUUGGUGUGCCUUCAGGAACAGGGUUGGGAAACACUGGUCUAGAUAACUGUUAAAUGAACCGUUAUUAAAGUUACGAAUGGAAGAAUUUCUUAGGCCUGAACUGAAAAUCUUCACACAGCCACAGGCCUCAAAAACACAUGCAACUGCUGAACUAUAAUCCAGACUCCACACUGCAGAUGCUGCGAUGUGACUAUAGCAAAUCAUCACAUUGAGAUAUCCAUGCUAAAACGAUAUAUUGUGCUGCCCUCGUUCUUUGUGUGUGCGUUAUAUGAUCACUUUUACAGGUCUGAGGUCAGCUCUGGAUAGACGGCAGACUGUCUGACCUGCGGCUCCUGUCUCAGAUGCAGAUACAAACCCACAUCUGCAGACCUGUUUGGAAACUGUCUGUCUUUGCUUUAACUGAUCAGGAUCUUUAUACCUUUGUUGACGCCAUUUGUGGCCCUCUGUCAGAGUAUAAUUGCUGUGUUUUUGUUAUUGUAAGGCAGCGAGAUCGGCCAGCCAACUCUAUGUGAGUGUCACAGAACGGCAAACUGUCUUCAGUAAACUCUCUUAAUCUUAUUGAAUCUCCGGCUCGGAGUCUUCUCUUGAUCGGACACACCAGUCGUUUUGGUCUCAACUGUAAAUUUCCCUCCUAACAAUGUGUCUGUGUGUUUAACCACUUUUUAACUUUUACAGCAUAAACUCAACAUCUAAUCAGUAAUAAGUGAUUAUUUUUGCUCUCUUUAUUCAGAACUUCAGCUCAAAUUCUUGAUUAACAAUGUGGAAAUAUCAAACCAAUAUGAAUGUAACAUAAAAGAAUUCCCAAAAGCUGAUGACUACAGACUUAACAUCAAAUAUUGAUAAAUGAAGUGUAAAACAUGAAUAUUGUACUGUAAAGCGUGUGACUUUCUCACCAUGAUGUUCUUCACUCCAGAUUGUCAUUUAGCCUGUGUGUAUUUAAUGCGCCUCUCAUCAAUAAACAAAUAAUAA